RNAcentral lists this long non-coding RNA (866 nucleotides) under Felis catus (domestic cat). RNAcentral's name for it is "lncRNA (ENSFCAG00000047071.1)". Lineage: Eukaryota; Metazoa; Chordata; Mammalia; Carnivora; Felidae. The record is from RNAcentral.
CAAGAUUCUUUAGAUUCCUAUCAUUCUAAAACAGAAUCUGCAUUGUCUACAGAAGGUAGUGUGGGAGGCCUGCAUUAAAUGACAGCAAUCCAUGCCCCCCCCCCCCGCCCCUGCCCCGGGAACCACCAACAGUCCUCUCUCUUUCCUUCAGUGGCAACGGGAGUGUCAUCAUAGCCUCUAUGAGAUGAUGCCUCACGUAAAAUGCUCAUAGACAGGUUUUUUCCUGCUGCACCCUCCGGGGGUUGGGAGCAUUAUCAUUGCUCAGGAAUAUUUACCCAGGUCAUAAAUAUGGAGACCUGCUAUGCUCAAAGAUGCCCAAUUGUGGACAUCAAUCUGUGGAGAGGUAAAACUGAGGAUGAGAAGGAUCAACAAAGUUCUGUACAACCCGUUUAUGCAGUCACACAACAUUUGUUCACCCUUCUACAUACCCUUCUGGGUUUCAUGCUAAAGAAGAUUCAAGAGCCAAGGCAUAUCGGACCAUCACCUGCAUGAGCGGGUGGGAGAGGAGUGGGUCACUGAAAUGAGGAAUGGAUUGGAGCCAGAGGGCAAUCAUCCAGCCCCAAGGCUAGUCACUGAAAACAGGACAAAAACCAGUAAAUUAUUUUAGGUUUAAAGAGCCUUCUUCAGAUAAAAGAACAAAGAGGAAACAAAAGACAUACUGGAGAAACAGAAAACAAUUAGCAAGAUGAUAAAUUUAAAUCUAACUAUAUCAAUAAUUACAACCCUAAUUAAAAGGCAGAGAUGAUCAUGUAUCAAUUUUGGCUCAUCAGUUGUGUUAUGGACUGAAUUUUGUCCCCUGACAAAUCCCUUUCUUGAAGUGCUAAUCCAGAGUGACUAUAUCAGGAGAUAUGGUUUUAAGAGCUAAU